CUCUCUCUCUCUCUCUCUCUCUCUCUCGUCACAGGAGACGCGUGGCGUGGUUAUUUUCUUCUUUAGAUGUUUUUCUUUUCUCUACACACAGAGAGAUGAGUACUGUUCCUCUAGUUACAGAGAUCUGAGAAUUUUUUUUUUUUUUGCAUAGCCAAGCCACAUGAAUGACUAAGAAAUGGGGAAAAAGGGGACUUGGUUCUCUGCUUUGAAGAAAGCUCUCA
This 221-nucleotide unclassified non-coding RNA is filed under the name Hevea brasiliensis (rubber tree). The record is from RNAcentral. Lineage: Eukaryota; Viridiplantae; Streptophyta; Magnoliopsida; Malpighiales; Euphorbiaceae.